GGGCUGUGAUGAAGAUAUAACCGUGCUAGAGAUGAGUAUCUUAUGAUUUCGUCGAUGACAGCGCAAUCCUCUAAGAAGUUCUGAGCUC
Molecule: small nucleolar RNA, 88 nt
Filed under: Lupinus angustifolius (narrow-leaved blue lupine)
Lineage: Eukaryota; Viridiplantae; Streptophyta; Magnoliopsida; Fabales; Fabaceae
Description: Small nucleolar RNA U61
Rfam family: Small nucleolar RNA U61
Source: Rfam by way of RNAcentral